UGAAGAGGUCAUCCCAGAAUUUGGAGAAUGCUCUGUCCCCUCUGAGCUUCUGUUUGGACCUCGGUACCUCCAGGAGCAGCAGGUCAGCUGACCUGAGGCACUGAGCAGGAACAUACGGUUGAAGGAGCCCAGAGAGGCAGCCAGUAGAGGGAGGCCAGGAUGGGAGUCAUGUGCUCUCUCUUACGUGCUCCAGUUAGG
Thalassophryne amazonica is the source of this 198-nucleotide long non-coding RNA. RefSeq lists it as uncharacterized. NCBI's taxonomy places the organism in Eukaryota, Metazoa, Chordata, Actinopteri, Batrachoidiformes, Batrachoididae. The record is from RefSeq and is a predicted model, not a curated record. The transcript has 4 exons.